This 406-nucleotide ribosomal RNA is filed under the name uncultured bacterium. Its description in RNAcentral is "partial 16S ribosomal RNA". It matches the Rfam family "Bacterial small subunit ribosomal RNA", at positions 30 to 526 of the family's 1533-position model. The record is from RNAcentral.
AUUGAACGCUGGCGGCAGGCUUAACACAUGCAAGUCGAGCGAGCGGCGGACGGGUGAGUAAUGUCUGGGAAACUGCCUGAUGGAGGGGGAUAACUACUGGAAACGGUAGCUAAUACCGCAUACCAUCAGAUGUGCCCAGAUGGGUUUAGCUAGUGGGUGGGGUAAUGGCUCACCUCUGCCACGAUCCCUAGCUGGUCUGAGAGGAUGACCAGCCACACUGGGACGGAGACACGGUCCAGACUCCUACGGGAGGCAGCAGUGGGGAAUAUUGCACAAUGGGGGCAAGCCUGAUGCAGCCAUGCCGCGUGUGUGAAGAAGGCCUUCGGGUUGUAAAGCACUUUCAGCGAGGAGGCUUUACUCGCAGAAGAAGCACCGGCUAACUCCGUGCCAGCCGCCGCGGUAAUAC